AGCUCCAGUAGCGUAUAUUAAUGUUGUUGCAGUUAAAAAGCUCGUAGUUGGAUUUCUGAUGUGACACAGCCGCCCUCCGUCUGUGACGGUGAGUGUGGAUUUUGCGUCCAUCAUCCUUCUAGAAAGACUCUCGCCUUAAUUGGUUGGGAUGUUCGAUCUAGAUCUUUUACUUUGAAAAAAUUAGAGUGUUUAAAGCAGGCUUGCGCUAUGAAUACAUUAGCAUGGAAUAAUAAGAUAGGACUCUUGUCUCUAUUUUGUUGGUUUCUAGAGCUCGAGUAAUGAUUGAUAGGGAUAGUUGGGGAUGCUAGUAUUUAAUGGCCAGAGGUGAAAUUCUCGGAUUCGUUAAAGACUAACUUCUGCGAAAGCAUUCAUCAAGGAUAUCUUCU
Molecule: ribosomal RNA, 386 nt
Filed under: uncultured eukaryote
Lineage: Eukaryota
Description: SSU rRNA
Rfam family: Eukaryotic small subunit ribosomal RNA
Source: RNAcentral